GAUGAACGCUGGCGGCGUGCCUAAUACAUGCAAGUCGAGCGAACGGACGAGAAGCUUGCUUAUCUGAUGUUAGCGGCGGACGGGUGAGUAACACGUGGAUAACCUACCUAUAAGACUGGGAUAACUUCGGGAAACCGGAGCUAAUACCGGAUAAUAUUUUGAACCGCAUGGUUCAAAAGUGAAAGACGGUCUUGCUGUCACUUAUAGAUGGAUCCGCGCUGCAUUAGCUAGUUGGUAAGGUAACGGCUUACCAAGGCAACGAUGCAUAGCCGACCUGAGAGGGGGAUCGGCCACACUGGAACUGAGACACGGUCCAGACUCCUACGGGAGGCAGCAGUAGGGAAUCUUCCGCAAUGGGCGAAAGCCUGACGGAGCAACGCCGCGUGAGUGAUGAAGGUCUUCGGAUCGUAAAACUCUGUUAUUAGGGAAGAACAUAUGUGUAAGUAACUGUGCACAUCUUGACGGUACCUAAUCAGAAAGCCACGGCUAACUACGUG
RNAcentral lists this ribosomal RNA (497 nucleotides) under uncultured bacterium. RNAcentral describes it as "partial 16S ribosomal RNA". It matches the Rfam family "Bacterial small subunit ribosomal RNA", at positions 28 to 507 of the family's 1533-position model. The record is from RNAcentral.